This 367-nucleotide ribosomal RNA is filed under the name uncultured bacterium. RNAcentral describes it as "bacterial SSU rRNA". It matches the Rfam family "Bacterial small subunit ribosomal RNA", at positions 525 to 896 of the family's 1533-position model. The record is from RNAcentral.
ACGGAGGGUGCAAGCGUUAUCCGGAAUCAUUGGGUUUAAAGGGUCCGCAGGCGGAUUUAUAAGUCAGUGGUGAAAUCCUGCAGCUCAACUGCAGAACUGCCAUUGAUACUGUAAGUCUUGAAUUUGAUCGGAGUGGGCGGAAUGUGUAGUGUAGCGGUGAAAUGCAUAGAUAUUACACAGAACACCGAUAGCGAAGGCAGCUCACUAGGUUAUAAUUGACGCUCAUGGACGAAAGCGUGGGGAUCAAACAGGAUUAGAUACCCUGGUAGUCCACGCCGUAAACGAUGAUUACUCGUUCUUGACAGCAAUGUCAGGGACCAAGCGAAAGUGAUAAGUAAUCCACCUGGGGAGUACGAUCGCAAGGUUG